Molecule: ribosomal RNA, 465 nt
Filed under: uncultured bacterium
Lineage: Bacteria
Description: partial 16S ribosomal RNA
Rfam family: Bacterial small subunit ribosomal RNA
Source: RNAcentral
GACGAACGCUGGCGGCGUGCUUAACACAUGCCAGUCGUACGGUAAGGCCCUUUCGGGGGUACACGAGUGGCGAACGGGUGAGUAACACGUGAGUAACCUGCCCACAACUUUGGGAUAACGCUAGGAAACUGGUGCUAAUACUGGAUAUGUGCUCCUGCUGCAUGGUGGGGGUUGGAAAGCUCCGGCGGUUGUGGAUGGACUCGCGGCCUAUCAGCUUGUUGGUGGGGUAGUGGCCUACCAAGGCGGCGACGGGUAGCCGGCCUGAGAGGGUGACCGGCCACAUUGGGACUGAGAUACGGCCCAGACUCCUACGGGAGGCAGCAGUGGGGAAUAUUGCACAAUGGGCGCAAGCCUGAUGCAGCAACGCCGCGUGCGGGAUGACGGCCUUCGGGUUGUAAACCGCUUUCAGCAGGGACGAAGCUUUUUGUGACGGUACCUGCAGAAGAAGCACCGGCCAACUACGUG